RNAcentral lists this ribosomal RNA (253 nucleotides) under uncultured bacterium. RNAcentral's name for it is "partial 16S ribosomal RNA". It matches the Rfam family "Bacterial small subunit ribosomal RNA", at positions 524 to 776 of the family's 1533-position model. The record is from RNAcentral.
UACGAAGGGGGCUAGCGUUGCUCGGAAUGACUGGGCGUAAAGGGCGCGUAGGCGGCUUGCACCGUCAGAUGUGAAAUUCCUGGGCUUAACCUGGGGGCUGCAUUUGAUACGUGUGGGCUUGAGUGCGGUAGAGGGUCGUGGAAUUCCCAGUGUAGAGGUGAAAUUCGUAGAUAUUGGGAAGAACACCGGUGGCGAAGGCGGCGACCUGGUCCGUGACUGACGCUGAGGCGCGAAAGCGUGGGGAGCAAACAGG